Molecule: ribosomal RNA, 64 nt
Filed under: Lodderomyces parapsilosis
Lineage: Eukaryota; Fungi; Ascomycota; Pichiomycetes; Serinales; Debaryomycetaceae
Description: Candida parapsilosis partial 28S ribosomal RNA
Source: RNAcentral
UUCGACCUCAAAUCAGGUAGGACUACCCGCUGAACUUAAGCAUAUCAAUAAGGCGGAGGAAGAA